AAUUCGCUGCGUUAGGGAUAGAAGCGGCAUCCUUUUUUGUUUUUUUCAAAAAAGAUAUAGCGUAUAGCCCGACCCUUU
Molecule: small RNA, 78 nt
Filed under: Jejuia pallidilutea
Lineage: Bacteria; Pseudomonadati; Bacteroidota; Flavobacteriia; Flavobacteriales; Flavobacteriaceae
Description: Flavo-1 RNA
Rfam family: Flavo-1 RNA
Source: RNAcentral